This 495-nucleotide ribosomal RNA is filed under the name uncultured bacterium. RNAcentral's name for it is "partial 16S ribosomal RNA". It matches the Rfam family "Bacterial small subunit ribosomal RNA", at positions 28 to 507 of the family's 1533-position model. The record is from RNAcentral.
GACGAACGCUGGCGGCGUGCCUAAUACAUGCAAGUAGAACGCUGAAGGAGGAGCUUGCUCUUCUGGAUGAGUUGCGAACGGGUGAGUAACGCGUAGGUAACCUGCCUGGUAGCGGGGGAUAACUAUUGGAAACGAUAGCUAAUACCGCAUAACAGUAGAUGUUGCAUGACAUUUGCUUAAAAGGUGCAAUUGCAUCACUACCAGAUGGACCUGCGUUGUAUUAGCUAGUUGGUGGGGUAACGGCUCACCAAGGCGACGAUACAUAGCCGACCUGAGAGGGUGAUCGGCCACACUGGGACUGAGACACGGCCCAGACUCCUACGGGAGGCAGCAGUAGGGAAUCUUCGGCAAUGGACGGAAGUCUGACCGAGCAACGCCGCGUGAGUGAAGAAGGUUGUCGGAUCGUAAAGCUCUGUUGUAAGAGAAGAACGAGUGUGAGAGUGGAAAGUUCACACUGUGACGGUAUCUUAACAGAAAGGGACGGCUAACUACGUG